UGGCUGAUCUGUAAUUAAUCCACAUAUCUCGAAGACUCCAACCACCUACCGGCCUCCGGCCGAACCAUUACCUUUCACCCCGAUCCUCCAUCCCCGGCACCCGCGAAGAUUUCACUUUUUAACGCAACAGAAACCAUCGGAUUUUCUUGUUUGGUCUAAUUACCGACAGCUAUGGACGAGCCCCGAAAACACCAGGUGUCAUUGCGGGGAGCUAGCGCGAAGGAGAUUUCAAGGGAUGCGCUUCUUGCCAAGGUUUCUCAAGAGAGAGAGCUUCGCAAUUUUACACGAAGAGCAACUUCUGCCGCACUUUUUCUUCAGAGAGUUUGGCGUCGUCACAGGGCGGUAAAAGUGGUAUCUAUGCAGCUUCAGCAACAGUGGCUAGCAGAGAUGAAUCAAAAUGCUAUCUGUUGGAACAAAAUGCAGAUUUCAAGGAUUGUUCUGAGGCCUUUUAUCUUCUUUAUGACUUUUUUAUCUACUCGGUAUCAAAGAAUUGAAACCAGAGAAGAAGAUUGCGUGAAGCUUUGCUUCAGGGUUUUGUUGGAAAGCAUAAACUCAACUGAUCCAAAUGAAAACUUUUGCUCUUUGGUAACGGGUACCACUGAAGAGAGAAAAAUAUGGAUUUAUCAGUCAAAGAAGCUAAUUUUACUAUGUCUACUGAUUUUGGUGGAGGUUGAUUACACUGAUCGAGGGCUUCAAGAUGUUGGCGUUGUCUCUUUAGGAAUGCGUCUAGCAGUUCUCUUGACUGAUUGGAAAGGUUGGAAAAGCAUAACUGAACGGGAUACUCAAUAUGCUGAUGCUGCAGUAAAGAACUUAAUCUGGUUUAUUGCGAAUAAAGAGAGUGGGACAUAUAACAGUAUUAGGAGAUACAUUUGGAAGUUGGAUCCUGUACCUACUCAAGGGGCAUCUUCCUGUAGAACAGAUGAUAGGUUUUUGAUUACUGCUAGUGCAUUAACUUUGGCUUUACGGCCAUUUCAUUUUAGAGACACAGCUGGAACUGGUAGUGGCGUAUUGGAAUUGCAACAUGCUGCAGAAAAUUAUUUCUUUUUUUUGCUUACUAUACCUUGGUUUUCUGAACGUCUGCCAAUGGUGCUUCUACCUGCUCUGAAACACAAGUCUGUUUUAUCAUCCUGUCUAAGAUCACUGCUGAUCUCAAAAGAUAGAAUUUCAAAGGAAAUAUCUGAGAUGGAUCGAUUGGAAAUUCAUUUGCAGUCUAAGAAGAUGCCUCAAGUUGCUUGGGCCCUUGCAAAUAUUAUAUUUCUUGCAACAUCCAGUGACGAUGGCGCUGUGAGCUCUGGAAAAUUUGCCCCAGGACUGGAUUUAGUGGCCUAUGUCCGUUUUGUUAUCAUCCUUGCAGAAAACUUAUUGGCUUGUUUUGGGAAAGAUGGACAGGUAAGAUUCAGGAACCAAGAAAUUCAAGUUGAUGUAGAUAACCAGGUUGAUCCUAUUGGAAUGGGAUUGCUUGAAUCUGAGACAACUUGCGAGUCCUUAAAGAUGUCAUACACAGACCUUCUUAAACCUGUUUGUCAGCAGAGCCAUCUUUUGGGACUCCUAAACUUGGAGAAAGAUAUUUCUGGUCGUAUGACUGAUACACAUCAAAGUUCAGAAGCUCCUAUGAGUUUUGAAUUGCUUGAUGUUGCUUAUUACUAUUCAUGCAUGAUUAGAAUAUUUUCUGCACUAAAUCCUGUGCUCGGGUCAUUGCCAGUUCUCAACAUGUUAUCUUUUACUCCUGGAUUUCUUUCAAAAUUGUGGGAAGUAUUGGAAAGAUCUCUUUUUCCUGGAAGGAGUCAUGAUGCCAAGGACAAUUCUUUUGGUAAUGAUAUUUCCAAAAGCAAGGAUGAUGUCUCUCAGAGAAAGCAAAAAUGGUGUGCUAAAGACAGAGGCAAUAAAUGGGUCAAUGUAUUGCACAAAUUCUCUGGAAACUCACCAACAGAAUCAAGUAAAAUGAAUUCUACUGGAAAAUCCAGCUUUGACAGAAUUCGAGAUCAGUCUUCUUCUGUGUGGGAUGUAGAGGCUCUCAGACGUGGUCCUGUAGGCUUAUCGAAAGAUAUGCAUUGUCUCCUUCAUCUAUUUUGUGCCAUAUAUUCACACCUGCUUUUAGUUCUUGAUGACAUAGAGUUUUAUGAGAAACAGGUUCCAUUCACAUUGGAGCAGCAGCGCAAAAUUUCAUCAAUGCUUAAUACACUUGUCUAUAAUGCUGUAUCUGGCGGUGUUAGCCCACAUAAUAGAACUCUGAUGGAUUCUGCAAUUCAAUGCCUACAUUUGCUAUAUGAAAGGGAUUGCAGGCACCAGUUUUGUCCUCCAGCUUUAUGGCUUUCACCUGGUGAGAGAAAUCGCCUGCCAAUUGCUGUAGCUGCUAGGACUCAUGAAGUUCUAUCUGCAACUGUUAUACCAGAUGAUGCUUCAGCCCCUUCAAGUAUGGCUGCUUCUGUCAUUACUCUUACUCCACAUGUCUUUCCAUUUGAAGAAAGAGUUGAAAUGUUCAGAGAAUUUAUUAACAUGGAUAAAGAAUCCCGUAGAAUGGCUGGUGAGGUUGUUGGACCCGGUCCAGGAUCAGUUGAGAUCAUCAUCAGACGUGGACAUAUCGUGGAGGAUGGUUUUCAACAGUUAAAUGCUCUUGGGUCAAGGUUGAAAUCUAGCAUCCAUGUAUCAUUUAUUAGUGAAUCUGGUCUCCCAGAGGCCGGCCUAGACUAUGGCGGAUUAUCCAAGGAGUUCUUGACUGAUAUAGCAAAAGCAGUUUUCUCACCAGAGUACGGGCUGUUCUCUCAGAGCUCAAGCUCAGAUAGACUUCUCAUUCCUAAUACAGCAGCAAGAUUUUUAGAGAAUGGCAUACAAAUGAUCGAGUUUCUGGGAAGAGUAGUUGGCAAAGCACUUUAUGAAGGAAUAUUACUUGAUUACUCCUUCUCACAUGUAUUUGUACAAAAGUUGUUAGGUCGCUAUAGCUUUCUUGACGAACUGUCAACACUUGAUCCUGAGCUUUACAGAAAUCUUAUGUAUGUGAAGCAUUAUGAUGGUGAUGUCAAGGAACUCUCACUGGAUUUCACAGCUACGGAAGAAUCACUCGGUAAAAGGCAUCUUGUUGAGCUAAAACCCGGCGGCAAGGAUAUCUGUGUGACAUCUGAGAAUAAGUUGCAAUAUAUUCAUGCAGUUGCAGACUACAAACUUAAUCGGCAGAUACUUCCUUUCUCGAAUGCAUUUUGUAGAGGGUUGACUGACCUUGUUUCCCCAUCUUGGUUGAGGUUGUUCAAUGCAAGUGAAUUCAAUCAGUUGCUUUCUGGUGGGAACCAUGACAUUGAUAUUGGUGAUUUGAGGAAAAAUACAAGAUAUACUGGUGGUUAUACAGAAGGGAGUCGGACAGUGAAACUCUUCUGGGAGGUAGUUGCUGGGUUUGAAGCGAUAGAACGUUGCAUGCUUCUUAAAUUUGUGACAAGUUGUUCUCGAGGUCCUUUACUAGGGUUCAAACACUUGCAACCAGCUUUUACUAUUCACAAGGUUGUAUGUGAUGUGCCUUUCUUGGCAACAUUAGGAGGACAGGAUGUUGAUCGGCUUCCAUCUGCUUCUACAUGCUAUAAUACUCUUAAGCUUCCCACCUACAAACGUCUAGGCACUUUGAGAGAGAAACUUCUGUAUGCCAUCAAUUCUAAUGCUGGAUUUGAGCUUUCUUAGAGACUUCUGAUUCACUAGCAAGGAGAAUUGGCAAAGAAGGUGAGGAGGGUAUAAAGGUUGCUGGAAAUUUUUGUUUCCCAAUGCUAUCGUGGCUAGAAUUCAGUCAUGAAGCAAUUCUUUUCCAUUAUUUGGAGCAUCUGAGAUCAAUCAGAAUAAACAUGUUCUUUAUUGGAUAUAGCUUAAUUUGGUCCUCUUUUCAAAGCCAUGGAGGUUUCUACCUAUACUAUCAAAGUCAUUGGAAACACCUUUGUGACUCUUAACAUCCAUAAAGUAGUUUUAACUAGUGGACUUGAGUGGGAUAGUGAGUGAUGUUGCAACUGCAGUAGGCACUAAGAGAUGAGAUCAAAUCCCUGCUCUAGUAGACUCUCUGCCAACUUUUCAUUAGCAGCAUCCGAGGGAUGGAAACCAUCCCAGAACACAUAUUCUGUAGCAUUUGAGCAUGUCCCUACUGACCUGGAAUUGCACAAGAACGAUGUCUCAAUUGUACCAGUCCCACAGCAAGCCUUUCUUGAUUCGAAAAAUCCUGGCAAAGGACAAUGUUUCUCCAAUUAGUUCAAUCACAGGUUCCUUUCCAAAGACAGACCUUCCCUCUCUCUGUUGAGAAAGGAAAAUUACAAGAAAAUGAUUGUUCACUACCUACAUUACGCAUCUGCACGUGUGAACUGCCUACCUAGCCUGUGAAUGCAUUUUUAUUGUGCCAGAGCCGAGAAGUUGCAAAUUACCAUUGUCCGUAGGCUUCGUGAUUAGGUCUAGCAGAGGAUUGUAAAUGUCAAAGACUACAAGUUUGAGGCCAGGAUGCUUGCUCUUCAAAUUCUGUGAGGUGCUGUUCAGUUUGUUAUUGAAGGAGAUUGCGUCCUGGUUCAGUCUUGCAACACACAGGUUGCUUCCUGAACCAAAUAGUGUAAUAGCUGCUGGCAGGCAUCCGGUUGGUGGUAGUGUUGUGACUCCAAUCCUCCUUACUCCCAGACCAUACAGAUUCUGUCACAUAGUAAUUUCAAACACUGCACUUGUUUGGAAUUCUUAGCUGCAGUUCCUUGUUGCUUAUGUGGUGAAGUUGCAAUCUGAGUAUUUGUGUCAUUACAGUAAAAGUACUGCUUGGUUAAGUUACAUGAAUCUGUUUCCUCAAUCUUUUUUGUUACUUUUCUGUGUUUAGGAUUAUCAACUCUUAGUGACACAAGAAUUUUGUUCAUAAAUUUCAUUAUAAAAUUUUAUGUACACACAUAUUAACAAGGGCGAAGUCUGUAGUACAUCUAUUUAGAUCUUGCUGUGCCCGUGAGAGUCUUCAUUCUA
Molecule: RNA transcript, 4953 nt
Organism: Coffea arabica (coffee)
Lineage: Eukaryota; Viridiplantae; Streptophyta; Magnoliopsida; Gentianales; Rubiaceae
Gene name: E3 ubiquitin-protein ligase UPL7-like
Source: RefSeq, a predicted model, not a curated record